This 497-nucleotide ribosomal RNA is filed under the name uncultured bacterium. RNAcentral's name for it is "partial 16S ribosomal RNA". It matches the Rfam family "Bacterial small subunit ribosomal RNA", at positions 28 to 507 of the family's 1533-position model. The record is from RNAcentral.
GACGAACGCUGGCGGCGCGCCUAAUACAUGCCAGUAGAACGCUGAGGAGAGGAGCUUGCUCUUCUUGGAUGAGUUGCGAACGGGUGAGUAACGCGUAGGUAACCUGCCUUGUAGCGGGGGAUAACUAUUGGAAACGAUAGCUAAUACCGCAUAACAAUGGAUGACACAUGUCAUUUCUUUGAAAGGGGCAAUUGCUCCACUACAAGAUGGACCUGCGUUGUAUUAGCCAGUAUGUGAGGUAAUGGCUCACCCAGGCGACGAUACAUAGCCGACCUGAGAGGGUGAUCGGCCACACUGGGACUGAGACACGGCCCAGACUCCCACGGGAGGCAGCAGUAGGGAAUCUUCGGCAAUGGGGGCAACCCUGACCGAGCAACGCCGCGGGAGUGAAGAAGGGUUUCGGAUCGGAAAGUUCUGUUGUAAGUCAAGAACGGGUGUGAGAGUGGAAAGUUCACACUGUGACGGUAGCUUACCAGAAAGGGACGGCUAACUACGUG